AAUCAGAUCAAUUAACAAUUAAUCUUACUAUCAAAUCCACCUUCAUGAAACUAUAAAAAUUUCAAUCCAUGUAUAUAAUUAUAUUGUAACCCACCUCCACUUUUACAUAAAUUGCACCUUGACCUGACAUAUUCUUAUUUAAAGAAAAAGAAAAUUUACUCUAAAAAGACUCUCUUAUGACGGAGAUAUACAAACUGAUAAACAAGCAAAAGUAACUUGAAUCGUGGGAUGUCGAUUAAGGGGCAGGUUCCUCUGAAAAGACUAAAAUACCGCCAAAUCCUUUGGGUUUCAAGAACAUAACUAUUACUACCCAGGCAAAAAUU
RNAcentral lists this ribosomal RNA (323 nucleotides) under Lestes disjunctus. RNAcentral's name for it is "partial 12S ribosomal RNA". The record is from RNAcentral. Lineage: Eukaryota; Metazoa; Arthropoda; Insecta; Odonata; Lestidae.